RNAcentral lists this non-coding RNA (26 nucleotides) under Homo sapiens (human). Lineage: Eukaryota; Metazoa; Chordata; Mammalia; Primates; Hominidae. The record is from RNAcentral.
UCUCUGGGUGACACAAGAUUGAUGCC